This 421-nucleotide ribosomal RNA is filed under the name uncultured bacterium. RNAcentral describes it as "bacterial SSU rRNA". It matches the Rfam family "Bacterial small subunit ribosomal RNA", at positions 917 to 1338 of the family's 1533-position model. The record is from RNAcentral.
GGGCCCGCACAAGCGGUGGAGCAUGUGGUUUAAUUCGACGCAACGCGAAGAACCUUACCUACACUUGACAUCCUCGGAACUUUCUAGAGAUAGAUUGGUGCCUUCGGGAACCGAGUGACAGGUGCUGCAUGGCUGUCGUCAGCUCGUGUCGUGAGAUGUUGGGUUAAGUCCCGUAACGAGCGCAACCCUUAUCCUUAAUUGCCAGCGGUUAGGCCGGGAACUCUAAGGAGACUGCCGAUGACAAAUCGGAGGAAGGUGGGGACGACGUCAAGUCAUCAUGGCCCUUACGUGUAGGGCUACACACGUGCUACAAUGGCCGGUACAAACGGUUGCGAACCCGCGAGGGGAAGCUAAUCCGAGAAAGCCGGUCGUAGUCCGGAUUGGGGUCUGCAACUCGACCCCAUGAAGUCGGAAUCGCUAG